RNAcentral lists this long non-coding RNA (1004 nucleotides) under Jatropha curcas. RNAcentral's name for it is "long non-coding RNA (JCUR_LNC001716)". The record is from RNAcentral. Lineage: Eukaryota; Viridiplantae; Streptophyta; Magnoliopsida; Malpighiales; Euphorbiaceae.
AGCAAUGUAUCGACUUUUGCAACAACUGAGAAAGGGAUCAAAGCCAAAAAAGAGUAGAAUUGAGAAUAUAUCAACUUUGUCCAAAACAAUUGGAGAGUCGGCAACAAACAUUGAUAAUGAGAUUGAAAAAGUGAUUGAUAGGCUUAGUUGAGCAUUAGAAGAUGUUAAAACUGUCGAAAUAAUCAAAUAGUGUAGUGACAAAGUUACUGAGUCUCAGUAUAUCUGAAAGGCAUAAUAGGGCUACUCAAAAAUUAGUUAUAGUCGUGGGCUAACCCACGUCUUCUUCAUAAUUUCGAUGAACAGAUAGAAGCAUUUGUGAAGGCAUUGUUUAAUGGAGGUAUUUGAAUUCAUCUAUUAGGUAUAGGAAUAUCAUUUGUUUCAACACCAUUUUUAAACAAUCAAUUCAGUUGUAUGAUCUAUCCAAAACUCUGCCUUCGAAUCUGCUAAAAAAAAAAAAAAAAAACAAAAAUCUACAAUCGAGUGCAUAUUUAUUUAUAUAAUUCAUUUUGAUUAGAGUUAAACAAUUUUUUGCUCUUAUUCUUUUUGUUGAAAUGAACUUCAUCAAGAUAUUUUACUAACCAAAAUCCUAUCGUGAUUUAAUGUUAAUUCUAUCAUGAGCUUUGCAUGAUUGGUCGACUGCAGUACCUCUCCGACGACGACACAGCUUGAAAACUCCCUUUCUUUCUCCUCUUCUGGCGGACACAACAGAGAGACGCUGCGAUUCCUCUAUCGCCAGCGUGGUCCUGUCGUUUUCCGACGAGACUAGCUGAAGGCCAGUCGAUUUGGUCCUUUCCCUACCGCUUACAGCUUUGUCGGCCAUCGUAUCCAUAAAUUCCAGCCAAGCUAUUACUGGCAAUGCUGUAUUUUGGGAUAUUGGAACUGUUUCUGGUUAUUUUUCCAAAAAAUUAGUGGCUAGCUAAUCUCAUUUUGAAUGUUUUCUAAUAUAUUUAAUAAAUAUUGAUUAUGAUUAGAAGGUUUUAAUAAAAUAAAGCAACUUUUAGUUA